RNAcentral lists this ribosomal RNA (479 nucleotides) under uncultured Rhodocyclaceae bacterium. Its description in RNAcentral is "bacterial SSU rRNA". It matches the Rfam family "Bacterial small subunit ribosomal RNA", at positions 902 to 1382 of the family's 1533-position model. The record is from RNAcentral. Lineage: Bacteria; Pseudomonadati; Pseudomonadota; Betaproteobacteria; Rhodocyclales; Rhodocyclaceae.
CAAAGGAAUUGACGGGACCGCACAAGCGGUGGAUGAUGUGGAUUAAUUCGUAUGCAACGCGAAAACCUUACCUACCCUUGACAUGUCCGGAAUCCCGAAGAGAUUUGGGAGUGCUCGCAAGAGAACCGGAACACAGGUGCUGCAUGGCUGUCGUCAGCUCGUGUCGUGAGAUGUUGGGUUAAGUCCCGCAACGAGCGCAACCCUUGUCAUUAGUUGCCAUCAUUUGGUUGGGCACUCUAAUGAGACUGCCGGUGACAAACCGGAGGAAGGUGGGGAUGACGUCAAGUCCUCAUGGCCCUUAUGGGUAGGGCUUCACACGUCAUACAAUGGUCGGUACAGAGGGUUGCCAACCCGCGAGGGGGAGCUAAUCCCACAAAGCCGAUCGUAGUCCGGAUCGCAGUCUGCAACUCGACUGCGUGAAGUCGGAAUCGCUAGUAAUCGUGGAUCAGCAUGUCACGGUGAAUACGUUCCCGGGCCUU